UCUCCGUUGGUGAACCAGCGGAGGGAUCAUUACCGAGUUAUCCAACUCCCAACCCCUGUGAAUUAUACCUUUAAUUGUUGCUUCGGCGGGACUUCGCGCCCGCCGGGGACCCAAACCUUCUGAAUUUUUUAAUAAGUAUCUUCUGAGUGGUUAAAAAAAAAAUGAAUCAAAACUUUCAACAACGGAUCUCUUGGUUCUGGCAUCGAUGAAGAACGCAGCGAAAUGCGAUAAGUAAUGUGAAUUGCAGAAUUCAGUGAAUCAUCGAAUCUUUGAACGCACAUUGCGCCCGUCAGUAUUCUGGCGGGCAUGCCUGUUCGAGCGUCAUUACGCCCCUCAAGUCCCCUGCGGACUUGGUGUUGGGGAUCGGCGAGGCUGGUUUUCCAGCACAGCCGUCCCUUAAAUUAAUUGGCGGUCUCGCCGUGGCCCUCCUCUGCGCAGUAGUAAAGCACUCGCAACAGGAGCCCGGCGCGGUCCACUGCCGUAAAACCCCCCAACUUUUUAUAGUUGACCUCGAAUCAGGUAGGACUACCCGCUGAACUUAA
RNAcentral lists this ribosomal RNA (542 nucleotides) under Metarhizium anisopliae. Its description in RNAcentral is "eukaryotic LSU rRNA". The stretch from base 171 to 324 matches the Rfam family "5.8S ribosomal RNA". The record is from RNAcentral. Lineage: Eukaryota; Fungi; Ascomycota; Sordariomycetes; Hypocreales; Clavicipitaceae.